GUCAGCAGCCGGGGAGCGGCGGGCCCGGCGUCCCCAGCCCCGAGAGGUGCAGGGCUCGCAGCCCCGGGGCGGAGGGGGCUCGGGGAGGGGACAGAGAAGCCGAGCGGAGACGACGGGUGUCCUCCGGGAGGGGGGCACCCGGUCCAGGCAGGGGGCACCGCCGGGUUGCGGAGGGAAGCGCUUCCGGGCUUCUUCCGGGUGCGGUGCGCUGACCUACAGGAGCCUCCCAGAUGGAGAGUCUUCACCCUGCAGGAUGCCUGCUGGCGGCGGGCCGGUGGGUCAUGCCCCGGAUGAUCCUGGGGCAACAGGAGGACCAAAGCCGACGCUCGGGUCUGCAGAGCCUUGGACAGAGCCGUCGCAGCCCCCGUGGCAGCCUGGCCCAGAGUGUCAACCCAGCCCACACCUGGGCGCUGCCGGGGGAUGGGGUGACUGGGAUUGCUUCCAUACACUGCGGGCGUUCAAGGAACCUCCAUACCCCUGGCCCUCCAAACUCCCCAAACCUUGGGCCCAAAGAACAAACCAACCAACUGUUCACAGCCACAGGCCUGAACACUGAGUGCUCAGGGUCCCUUCCCUGAGCAUCCCAGUUUGCUUUCCAACCAUUUCCCGUCUGGGAUUGGGAUUCCACACCAUAAAUGUUCCUGGGGAAAAAGGCCACUUUCAUCACUUACAAGAAGAUGCUUUUCCAAGGACACUUUCUGUAUCCUAGCGCGUGGCCCAGAGCGAUAGUGCCUUCAACAGAGACUCCACUGGCCGGCAUCGUUGGGCACUCGGCCUCACCUAGGGUCUGUUUUAGGCAGGUAUGGUAAAA
Molecule: long non-coding RNA, 811 nt
Organism: Canis lupus familiaris (dog)
Lineage: Eukaryota; Metazoa; Chordata; Mammalia; Carnivora; Canidae
Exons: 2
Source: RefSeq, a predicted model, not a curated record